This 1189-nucleotide long non-coding RNA is filed under the name Oryctolagus cuniculus (rabbit). Its description in RNAcentral is "lncRNA (ENSOCUG00000029855.1)". Lineage: Eukaryota; Metazoa; Chordata; Mammalia; Lagomorpha; Leporidae. The record is from RNAcentral.
UCUCGGUCAACUAAGCCAGGAGCAAGGGUAUCUUGUGACCAAAAACCGGAGCAGCCAAGAGCUACCACUUACAGGGCUUGUUUUCAGGGAACUUCUACCUACUCAUGAAGUUCUGGGAUGGAUGAUGUCUAUUCAAAGGGUGGUGGUUGCAUAUGCCCACGGAGUUAUUGAGUGUGGAGCCUGUGAGUGCUGAGGACUCGGCUGUGUCCUGUCCCUGGAGAGCUCCCUCUUCCUGACCCUGCCCUCGAUGACGGCUGCUCGAAGAUGGACAGUGAUGGCACAGGCCUGGCCCUCUCCUUGCCUCCAGCUGGCAUCAUCGAGUAGCUAUGGCUCGGGAGUUGUGGUCCCGCUGCUCACCCAGCAGGAGCAGACCUGCUCACACCACGGUGCAUCUCCAGGAACUCCUGUGGCCUUCUUCUCCUGGUUCGAUAAGCUGGACUACCUCCGUAAGCUUUGCUGUCUCUUGGGCCAGCCACACAGCUGCCAGUGACAUGCAGAGACCACUGGAGACCUUAAGAUGUGGACUGCUGGGCACCAAUAUUACCCAUCUGUCCUACAGACUUCACACUGCCCACCUGCAGAACGUGGGCGUGGGCAGCAACAGCCUGCUCCACGUGAUGCCUGCGCCCUGGAGACUGCUGGGUGGGGGUGGUCUUGAGCUCCUGCUGCCACCUGAGUUCCUGCUGCCAGCCCUGUGCUGCUGCCCCCACCCCGGGGUGGUCAUCUCCCACGACCUCCUAAACUGCCCCUCCUACAGAUAAGACGGUGUGUGGCAGUGCUCGAGCUGAAGAAUGUUGAAGUAUCCUAUCCUUGUUGAAUGCUCUGGAUAUGUGGAUGACCACCCUGGAUUAACGCUGCUUUAGAAGCCAAACCAUGGCUAAGCUAAGCUGGACAGCAUUGGAUCAGGUGGGGGAGGGGAGACCCACAAACUGCGUAGCGCUGAGGGCUGAAAGCCGUGCAGAGCUCCACCGUGCAAUAGUGCGCGCACAGCAGCCAGCGGAAGUGCCGUGGUUCAGUGUCCUUACUUGCACGUGUCUGGGUAGCUUCUAGUCGCUGGCCGAGACUCCGGCUCCUUGUUGCAGGAGGUGUUCUGGCACGAUGGGAGAGGCAGGGCCCAGCUGAUCUGACUUGUAAAGAAUAUUUUAACUUUCAAAAUAAAGGAUGAUCUCAAGCUCGUCUCUGUCUUACA